GGGCUGGUAGCUCAGUUGGAAGAGUGCUGCCUUGGCAUGGCAGAAGCCCCGGGUUCAAAUCCCGGCCAGUCCA
This 73-nucleotide transfer RNA is filed under the name Candidatus Undinarchaeales archaeon. Its description in RNAcentral is "tRNA-Ala". It matches the Rfam family "tRNA". From Rfam's summary of the family: Transfer RNA (tRNA) molecules are approximately 80 nucleotides in length. Their secondary structure includes four short double-helical elements and three loops (D, anti-codon, and T loops). Further hydrogen bonds mediate the characteristic L-shaped molecular structure. tRNAs have two regions of fundamental functional importance: the anti-codon, which is responsible for specific mRNA codon recognition, and the 3' end, to which the tRNAs corresponding amino acid is attached (by aminoacyl-tRNA synthetases). tRNAs cope with the degeneracy of the genetic code in two manners: having more than one tRNA (with a specific anti-codon) for a particular amino acid; and 'wobble' base-pairing, i.e. permitting non-standard base-pairing at the 3rd anti-codon position. The record is from RNAcentral. Lineage: Archaea; Nanobdellati; Candidatus Undinarchaeota; Candidatus Undinarchaeia; Candidatus Undinarchaeales.